Molecule: ribosomal RNA, 403 nt
Filed under: uncultured microorganism
Description: bacterial SSU rRNA
Rfam family: Archaeal small subunit ribosomal RNA
Source: RNAcentral
GCGCAGCAGGCGAGAAAACUCCGCUAUGCGCGAAAGCGCGGCGGGGUCACCCCGAGUGCCACCCGCUGAGGGUGGCUUUUCCCCAGUCUAAACAGCUGGGGGAAUAAGGGGAGGGCAAGCCUGGUGUCAGCCGCCGCGGUAAUACCAGCUCCCCGAGUGGUCGGGACGAUUAUUGGGCCUAAAGCGUCCGUAGCCGGCCCGAGUAAGUUCCCUGUUAAAUCCAGCGAUCCAAUCGCUGGGCUGCAGGGGAUACUGCUGGGGCUAGGGGGGCGGGAGAGGCUGGGCGGUAUUCCCGGGGGAGGGGUGAAAUCCCGAGAUCCCGGGAGGACCACCGGUGGCGAAGGCGGCCAGCUAGAACGCGCCCGACGGUGAGGGACGAAGGCCGGGGGAGCGAACCGGAUUA